Molecule: ribosomal RNA, 836 nt
Filed under: uncultured bacterium
Lineage: Bacteria
Description: bacterial SSU rRNA
Rfam family: Bacterial small subunit ribosomal RNA
Source: RNAcentral
GCUUAAUACAUGCAAGUCGAGGGGCAGCGGGGUAGCAAUACCGCCGGCGACCGGCAAACGGGUGCGGAACACGUACAGAACCUUCCUUUAAGUGGGGAAUAGCCCAGAGAAAUUUGGAUUAAUACCCCGUAACAUUAUGUAGUGGCAUCAUUAUAUAAUUAUAGAUUUAUCGCUUAAAGAUGGCUGUGCGGCUGAUUAGGUAGUUGGCGGAGUAAUAGCCCACCAAGCCUGCAAUCAGUAACUGGUGUGAGAGCACGACCAGUCACACGGGCACUGAGACACGGGCCCGACUCCUACGGGAGGCAGCAGUAAGGAAUAUUGGUCAAUGGACGCAAGUCUGAACCAGCCAUGCCGCGUGAAGGAUGAAGGUCCUCAGGAUUGUAAACUUCUUUUAUCUGGGACGAAAAAAGGCCAUUCUUGGUCGACUGACGGUACCAGAGGAAUAAGCACCGGCUAACUCCGUGCCAGCAGCCGCGGUAAUACGGAGGGUGCAAGCGUUAUCCGGAUUCACUGGGUUUAAAGGGUGCGUAGGCGGGUAGGUAAGUCAGUGGUGAAAUCUUCGAGCUCAACUCGGAAAUUGCCGUUGAUACUAUUUAUCUUGAAUAUCGUUGAGGUUUGCGGAAUAUGUCAUGUAGCGGUGAAAUGCUUAGAGAUGACAUAGAACACCUAUUGCGAAGGCAGCAGGCUAAACGAACAUUGACGCUGAGGCACGAAAGCGUGGGGAUCAAACAGGAUUAGAUACCCUGGUAGUCCACGCCCUAAACGAUGAUUACUCGACAUCAGCGAUAUGACUGUUGGUGUCUGAGCGAAAGCAUUAAGUAAUCCAUCCUGGGAAC